Molecule: long non-coding RNA, 1273 nt
Organism: Ictalurus punctatus (channel catfish)
Lineage: Eukaryota; Metazoa; Chordata; Actinopteri; Siluriformes; Ictaluridae
Source: Ensembl
CGCCGGUCCGUCUUUCGCGCACAGUGCUGGUUGGGCGGCAAAAGGAACUGGUUCAGCCGGCUCCUCUACGUGCUCACCUAUUUCAUACGGUGCUCAGAACUGUUAGAGACAGAUGCUCUAGAGACUGGAAAUGACGAGCAGGACGAGGAGGCUUUUGCUGUGCCUGGAUCAGUUAUUACAACCUCGUUGCGCCGUGGAGAGGUUGAGGAGUCAGAAUAUGUGCUGGUCACUGUGCACAAGCCUAGCCAGAGGGCAGUGAAGCAGGCGUGAAAGAAGAGCAGCAAAAAGAGCAGAUUAUUCCUGUCCUCACAGCUCAGGAUCAGAGUGACCGUCAGAUGUGCCAUGAGGUUAGCAGCCCAUUAGUUAGCCCAUUAACAGAGACAGUGGUGAAUGUGGGCUCUGCCUCACUGGUAACCAAUACCCCUCUACUAGAUUUACAAGGACGUUCGGAUGUGUGUGAGACUGACGUGGCACACAGCUUGUUGUCUGUAAAGAUUGUCCGGUCAUUCAGGGAUCCCACUGGAAAAGAAACCACCUGAUAAAAGUACAACACUGGCCUCUUUUCUCCUGCAUGAGGAGGAAGAGGAGCCCGGGACUAGAGUUACCUUCCUGAUUGGCGAGUCCAUGUCACCGAGUCCGACUCGGAGAGCCAGAGACACAGGGUUGAAGAUGAGCUCAAGAAACACAAAAUGCAUUUCACUGAAAAACCAAAGCAGCAGUGUUGCCAUGUAAAGCAGCAGUGUAGCACUGCGCUGGCUAAGCCUCUAAUAAUGGACCAAAUCGAGAGCAAGGAUGCUAAAACCUUGUCAUACGUCGCUAGCAAUCUUCCUUGCGUUAACCCAGGUGCCCAGGAGGAGUGCAUGGACCUGUUGAUGAGUAUUUUUGUGACGGUAACUCUGUCGAAACAAGGACUAUCGGCGAUGUCUCCAAAGCAGUUUCACAGGAGGUUGCAGAUGCUGAAAAACACAAUUUGCAAGAGACUUGGACGAAAUCCCUAAUUAGGACAUAUGAACAGCAGGACAAAAGCAUCAGAGUUUCACUCAGUGUACCAGGCCUGGAGAAAGAGAGGGAACGGACGAAGACGUCCCCCCUGAACGAGUGGGAGAUUCCACGAAAUGAGAGUUUCAGACAGCGCCCUGGGAGACAGUGAAAGUGAGGACACAGGACAGGAUUUACCCAGACAAGAGCAAGAUGCACAGUUCUUCAGUGAAAUCCAAAAUGACUGGCAAGAAGAGAUGGAAGUACCAUUCCCUGGGUAUGUGAAACUUUGUGG